This 460-nucleotide ribosomal RNA is filed under the name uncultured bacterium. RNAcentral describes it as "partial 16S ribosomal RNA". It matches the Rfam family "Bacterial small subunit ribosomal RNA", at positions 338 to 795 of the family's 1533-position model. The record is from RNAcentral.
CCUACGGGUGGCAGCAGUGAGGAAUAUUGGUCAAUGGACGAAAGUCUGAACCAGCCAAGUAGCGUGAAGGAUGACUGCCCUAUGGGUUGUAAACUUCUUUUAUAUGGGAAUAAAAUGUUCCACGUGUGGGAUUUUGUAUGUACCAUAUGAAUAAGGAUCGGCUAACUCCGUGCCAGCAGCCGCGGUAAUACGGAGGGUCCGAGCGUUAUCCGGAUUUAUUGGGUUUAAAGGGAGCGUAGGUGGGUUGUUAAGUCAUUUGUGAAAUUUUGCGGCUCAACCGUAAAAUUGCAGUUGAAACUGGCAGUCUUGAGUACAGUAGAGGUGGGCGGAAUUCGUGGUGUAGCGGUGAAAUGCUUAGAUAUCACGAAGAACUCCGAUGGCGAAGGCAGCUCACUGGAGUGCAACUGACACUGAGGCUCGAAAGUGUGGGUAUCAAACAGGAUUAGAUACCCCAGUAGUC